This 468-nucleotide ribosomal RNA is filed under the name uncultured bacterium. RNAcentral's name for it is "partial 16S ribosomal RNA". It matches the Rfam family "Bacterial small subunit ribosomal RNA", at positions 28 to 507 of the family's 1533-position model. The record is from RNAcentral.
GACGAACGCUGGCGGCGUGCUUAACACAUGCAAGUCGAACGGAAAGGCCCUGCUUUUGUGGGGUGCUCGAGUGGCGAACGGGUGAGUAACACGUGAGUAACCUGCCCUUGACUUUGGGAUAACUUCAGGAAACUGGGGCUAAUACCGGAUAGGAGCUCCUGCUGCAUGGUGGGGGUUGGAAAGUUUCGGCGGGUGGGGAUGGACUCGCGGCUUAUCAGCUUGUUGGUGGGGUAGUGGCUUACCAAGGCUUUGACGGGUAGCCGGCCUGAGAGGGUGACCGGCCACAUUGGGACUGAGAUACGGCCCAGACUCCUACGGGAGGCAGCGGUGGGGAAUAUUGCACAAUGGGCGGAAGCCUGAUGCAGCAACGCCGCGUGCGGGAUGACGGCCUUCGGGUUGUAAACCGCUUUCGCCUGUGACGAAGCGUGAGUGACGGUAAUGGGUAAAGAAGCACCGGCUAACUACGUG